This 496-nucleotide ribosomal RNA is filed under the name uncultured bacterium. RNAcentral's name for it is "bacterial SSU rRNA". It matches the Rfam family "Bacterial small subunit ribosomal RNA", at positions 339 to 833 of the family's 1533-position model. The record is from RNAcentral.
CUACGGGAGGCAGCAGUGAGGAAUAUUGGUCAAUGGGCGAGAGCCUGAACCAGCCAAGUAGCGUGAAGGACGACGGCCCUACGGGUUGUAAACUUCUUUUAUAAGGGAAUAAAGUUCGCCACGUGUGGUGUUUUGUAUGUACCUUAUGAAUAAGCAUCGGCUAAUUCCGUGCCAGCAGCCGCGGUAAUACGGAAGAUGCGAGCGUUAUCCGGAUUUAUUGGGUUUAAAGGGAGCGUAGGCGGGCUUUUAAGUCAGCGGUCAAAUGCCACGGCUCAACCGUGGCCAGCCGUUGAAACUGCAAGCCUUGAGUCUGCACAGGGCACAUGGAAUUCGUGGUGUAGCGGUGAAAUGCUUAGAUAUCACGAAGAACUCCGAUCGCGAAGGCAUUGUGCCGGGGCAGCACCGACGCUGAGGCUCGAAAGUGCGGGUAUCAAACAGGAUUAGAUACCCUGGUAGUCCGCACGGUAAACGAUGAAUGCUCGCUAUGGGCGAUACA